Molecule: long non-coding RNA, 212 nt
Filed under: Capsicum annuum
Lineage: Eukaryota; Viridiplantae; Streptophyta; Magnoliopsida; Solanales; Solanaceae
Description: long non-coding RNA (CANN_LNC007466)
Source: RNAcentral
GAAAAUGAUAUGUGGAUUGCAACAUUUUGCUUAGUGGCAGUCAUACAUGUGCCACUUGAUUAAAGUCCUAUCUUCUUUUAUACAUCUAUACUAGUUACGGCAAAAUUCAGAAAUAGCAUACUUAUCUCCUUAAUUAUGAGUUUCAUAAUUAUAUAAUAUAGCAAGUUGUAUUUUGUAUUUUUGUAAACUGUUUCUACAAAAAUAUAAAUACA